Molecule: ribosomal RNA, 492 nt
Filed under: uncultured bacterium
Lineage: Bacteria
Description: partial 16S ribosomal RNA
Rfam family: Bacterial small subunit ribosomal RNA
Source: RNAcentral
AGUGAACGCUGGCGGUAGGCCAAACACAUGCAAGUCGAACGGCAGCACAGUAAGAGCUUGCUCUUACGGGUGGCGAGUGGCGGACGGGUGAGGAAUACAUCGGAAUCUACUUUUUCGUGGGGGAUAACGUAGGGAAACUUACGCUAAUACCGCAUACGACCUACGGGUGAAAGCAGGGGAUCUUCGGACCUUGCGCGAUUGAAUGAGCCGAUGUCGGAUUAGCUAGUUGGCGGGGUAAAGGCCCACCAAGGCGACGAUCCGUAGCUGGUCUGAGAGGAUGAUCAGCCAAACUGGAACUGAGACACGGUCCAGACUCCUACGGGAGGCAGCAGUGGGGAAUAUUGGACAAUGGGCGCAAGCCUGAUCCAGCCAUACCGCGUGGGUGAAGAAGGCCUUCGGGUUGUAAAGCCCUUUUGUUGGGAAAGAAAAGCAGCAGGUUAAUACCCCGCUGUUCUGACGGUACCCAAAGAAUAAGCACCGGCUAACUUCGUG